This 324-nucleotide long non-coding RNA is filed under the name Homo sapiens (human). RNAcentral's name for it is "HSALNT0037845". The record is from RNAcentral. Lineage: Eukaryota; Metazoa; Chordata; Mammalia; Primates; Hominidae.
UUUCUCCUCUAGUGGACAACUCUUCACAGCGGGAGAUCGAGGAGUUUCUCAGUGAGGCAGCGUGCAUGAAAGACUUCAGCCACCCAAAUGUCAUUCGACUUCUAGUGUGUGUAUAGAAAUGAGCUCUCAAGGCAUCCCAAAGCCCAUGGUAAUUUUACCCUUCAUGAAAUACGGGGACCUGCAUACUUACUUACUUUAUUCCCGAUUGGAGACAGGACCAAAGAUAUUCCUCUGCAGACACUAUUGAAGUUCAUGGUGGAUAUUGCCCUGGGAAUGGAGUAUCUGAGCAACAGGAAUUUUCUUCAUCGAGAUUUAGCUGCUCGA